Molecule: ribosomal RNA, 253 nt
Filed under: uncultured bacterium
Lineage: Bacteria
Description: partial 16S ribosomal RNA
Rfam family: Bacterial small subunit ribosomal RNA
Source: RNAcentral
UACGGAGGGAGCUAGCGUUGUUCGGAAUUACUGGGCGUAAAGCGCGCGUAGGCGGCUUUGUAAGUUAGAGGUGAAAGCCCGGGGCUCAACCCCGGAACUGCCUUUAAAACUGCAUCGCUUGAAUCCGGGAGAGGUGAGUGGAAUUCCGAGUGUAGAGGUGAAAUUCGUAGAUAUUGGGAAGAACACCGGUGGCGAAGGCGGCUCUCUGGACCGGAUCUGACGCUGAGGCGCGAAAGCGUGGGGAGCAAACAGG